Molecule: ribosomal RNA, 303 nt
Filed under: uncultured bacterium
Lineage: Bacteria
Description: partial 16S ribosomal RNA
Rfam family: Bacterial small subunit ribosomal RNA
Source: RNAcentral
AGCAGCCGCGCGGGAAUACGAGGGGGGCUAGCGUUGUUCGGAAUUACUGGGCGUAAAGCGCACGUAGGCGGCUUUGUAAGUUAGAGGUGAAAGCCUGGAGCUCAACUCCAGAAUUGCCUUUAAGACUGCAUCGCUUGAAUCGCGGAGAGGUGAGUGGAAUUCCGAGUGUAGAGGUGAAAUUCGUAGAUAUUCGGAAGAACACCAGUGGCGAAGGCGGCUCACUGGACGCGUAUUGACGCUGAGGUGCGAAAGCGUGGGGAGCAAACAGGAUUAGAUACCCGGGUAGUCCCUGUCUCUUAUACA